AAUGUUUGGCACCAACAUUAACCUUUUGCUGGAAGGGUGUCUCAACUGAGUUUAUGUUAAUUGCCACCAACUGACUGGCAUCCUACUGACGCCAAACAGAGAAUUUAUCUCCCCUCCUUCCGUCAUAUGUGACUGGGUCUCUGUUAGGGUCUUUGGAGACCUUAAACACAGGUUCUGGGGUGUGAGUCUGCUUGGUGCACGUGCUCCGGGCUGGGGGGCUGGCCUCUUAAAAUCCAGUGGGUGUGGGGCCGGGGCCCUCUGCUGGGGUCAUCUCUGAAUCCUAUUAGUUCUUUGAAAUCAUUAAAACCGUGUGUGGCUCAUGAGAGUCUUGGCACUGCAUUAACACAACUUCUACAGUCCUGGAAGGAAGUAUUCAGUUCUCCGGGAACAGUCCUGCUCCAACGGCCUCGGCUCCACCCAGACACUGAGAACCUCUUCUUAGCUGAGGUCGAGCAGGAACAGAAAUCGGGAUAUUGGUUAUCGGUGCCUUCUCUCUUCUUUUGUCCUGAUCAGCCAACCAUGUGUGGGACCUGUCUCUCAUUACUUGUUCGGAUGGUGACUCAUGGUGUCGUUUCCUUAAGUACUGAUCUGUGAUUCAACAGUCUUGCACAAUUCACAGCGUGGAGACCCAAUUCUUAUUCACCUUCUGGUAAAUGGAGCCACCAAACUCUGCCCCACUUUCACUUCUGCGUGAAGCUGGACUUGAUAAGUCUUGAAGCCAAGCAAAGUUUCUCUGGGUUACUCAGGACUUUGUGGUUUCAAAAUUCAUUUGUUAGCCAUGCCGCCAGCCCUGCUAACUCAGCACCAAGCACCCUGGAGCCCAGAGAUGUCAAGAUUCUCAGCACAGCCCAGGCUGAUGUGCUCCUGCUGGUACCCUGUCUUGAGUUGAGCUGUCCGCACCUCCCCAGUGUGAGCCAAGAAGCAUGAAUCAAAAAUCAUCUUCCGUGCACACGCAAGCUCAUCUUCCCCGACAGCCUCCGUGCAGACUGCUGUGGUGUUCCACUUCUCCCCAAACAUCUGAGUGUGCACUUGAUCCCCAGUACUUGCUUCCAAACUGCCCUCCUCUGCAGCGGUCUCAGUGUUGGCUGAGGCUGGGCUGCAGUUGCUUAUUUAAGCAACAAAAUUUCAGCCACAUCUGCCAUCUUCCAGUAAUUCGCCAAAAUGACCAACACAAAGGGAAAGAGGAGAGGCACCUGCUAUAGCCUCUCUAAGCCUCUCAGAAAAUGUGGAGUCGUUCCUUUGGCCACAUAAGUGCAAAUCCACAAGAAAGGUAACACUGUGGCAGAUCUGGAAGAGUCUGUGUGUCACCCAGCAUGCUGUGCGCAUCAUUGUAAACACACAAGUUAAGGGCAGGUUUCCUGCCAAGAGAAUUAAUGUGCCCAGUGAGUGUAUUAAGCACUCAAAAUGCCGAGCUAGCUUCCUGAAGCGUGUGAAGGAAAAUGAUCAGAAAGAGAAGGAAGCCGAAGAGAAAGGUACUCGGGUACGUGGUUCCAUUUGAGCUAAUCUGUCCCACCCAGAGACGCACCCUGUGAGAACCAUGGAAAGGAGCCUGAGCAGCGGGAACCCAUUCCCUACGGAUUCAUGGCCUGAUAACUGUAAAAAAAAAAAAAAAAA
This is a long non-coding RNA of Callorhinus ursinus (northern fur seal), 1614 nucleotides long. RefSeq lists it as uncharacterized. Lineage: Eukaryota; Metazoa; Chordata; Mammalia; Carnivora; Otariidae. The record is from RefSeq and is a predicted model, not a curated record.